RNAcentral lists this transfer RNA (358 nucleotides) under uncultured Microcystis sp. RNAcentral's name for it is "partial 16S-23S ribosomal RNA intergenic spacer". The stretch from base 134 to 207 matches the Rfam family "tRNA". The record is from RNAcentral. Lineage: Bacteria; Bacillati; Cyanobacteriota; Cyanophyceae; Chroococcales; Microcystaceae.
AAAGGGAGACCUAAUUCGAGACAGGGCGAAAAAACAGUAGCCCAGUCUUCUGAAUCAAUCCCAAAAGGUCGGAACGAGGUAUGUGGCUUUCAAACUAGGUUCUGGGUUCACACAAGACCUGAAUCAGGAACAAGGGCUAUUAGCUCAGGUGGUUAGAGCGCACCCCUGAUAAGGGUGAGGUCCCUGGUUCGAGUCCAGGAUGGCCCACCUGCACAGGUGGCAAAAAAAGAGAAGCGAGGAAUCAGCACCUUAUCUUACUUACAUAGUAAGAGAGAAUGCUGGCUCUGAGUAAAGAGUCCAGAGGAACCUUGAAAACUGCAUAGAGCUAGGUGAAAAAGCCAAAAAAGAAGACCGCAAG